This 301-nucleotide ribosomal RNA is filed under the name uncultured bacterium. Its description in RNAcentral is "partial 16S ribosomal RNA". It matches the Rfam family "Bacterial small subunit ribosomal RNA", at positions 509 to 809 of the family's 1533-position model. The record is from RNAcentral.
CAGUCGCCACGGUAAUACAGAGGGUGCGAGCGUUAAUCGGAUUUACUGGGCGUAAAGCGUGCGUAGGCGGCUUUUUAAGUCGGAUGUGAAAUCCCUGAGCUUAACUUAGGAAUUGCAUUCGAUACUGGGAAGCUAGAGUAUGGGAGAGGAUGGUAGAAUUCCAGGUGUAGCGGUGAAAUGCGUAGAGAUCUGGAGGAAUACCGAUGGCGAAGGCAGCCAUCUGGCCUAAUACUGACGCUGAGGUACGAAAGCAUGGGGAGCAAACAGGAUUAGAUACCCCAGUAGUCCCUGUCUCUUAUAU